RNAcentral lists this ribosomal RNA (228 nucleotides) under uncultured bacterium. RNAcentral's name for it is "partial 16S ribosomal RNA". It matches the Rfam family "Bacterial small subunit ribosomal RNA", at positions 103 to 334 of the family's 1533-position model. The record is from RNAcentral.
CGGGUGAGUAAUGCUUGGGAAUCUAGCUUAUGGAGGGGGAUAACUACGGGAAACUGUAGCUAAUACCGCGUAAUAUCGAGAGAUUAAAGUGUGGGACCUUCGGGCCACAUGCCAUAGGAUGAGCCCAAGUGGGAUUAGGUAGUUGGUGAGGUAAAGGCUCACCAAGCCGACGAUCUCUAGCUGGUCUGAGAGGAUGACCAGCCACACUGGGACUGAGACACGGCCCAG